UUUACCGAGUUUUCAUUUUAUCAUGUACAUUUCAAGUCUUGCUUGCCAAAUUUCCACAAGUUCUUGUUAAAUUGUUUAACUGCCUCAUGUUUGUUCUUCAUUAUUCCAUAUCAAAGUGAUGUCGUCCAAUGCGUCUGUUCCUGUCUGAUGUAGAAAUUGCUUUCCAUGAGGCAUGCCCUGAAGAUGAUACAAUAUCAUUCCUCUUGGUGCCCGUGCUAAUAUAACUCUUAUUUUCAAAAAACAAUUUCUUUGUAUUUGGGAGCAAGAUAUUAGGUAGAAAUCUUUUGGUGAACUGCAGAUUUAAGCGUCUCUGGCGAGUUCUUUGUCGGUCAGCUCCACCUCCCUUAGCGCUUGACCUAGCAGAUGUGUGUGCGUGUGCAGAUCACCCAUGCCUCCACUACGCCACCUACUGUUGGAUGGCACUGGCCGUCCAAGCGUGUGGAAUUGGAAGGACUGUCCGUCAUGGCGGCACAGCUCAUCUCGGAGGAGAAAAGACCAAGGUCUUGUAGGUUUCAAGUACUACAUAUAGGAGGAGGCAGGAGUGGCUGCAAUCUUGCUACAAAAUGACACUUACGGAGCUUCUUUACCUAACAUGGCCAAGAAGUCAGCGUAGAGUAUAGCCGGUUGGAUACAUAUCUGCAGAGUGCAUGUAGUGUGUGUGUCAGAUAUACAGUGGGAAAACACGACAAUGCAAGUGUCAGAUCCUAUUCUUGAUGCAAUUUUGCGACUCUAUUUUGGACUCUAAGCAAUUGGUUGAUGUUAAGCUGAAACUCGGAUCAGUCUUGUGGCUCUUCUGUACCUAUAUGUCUAGAUUAUUUACUAAUGGUAUAUGAACUAUA
This is a long non-coding RNA of Triticum aestivum (bread wheat), 839 nucleotides long. RefSeq lists it as uncharacterized. The record is from RefSeq and is a predicted model, not a curated record. The transcript has 2 exons. Lineage: Eukaryota; Viridiplantae; Streptophyta; Magnoliopsida; Poales; Poaceae.